RNAcentral lists this ribosomal RNA (510 nucleotides) under uncultured bacterium. RNAcentral's name for it is "bacterial SSU rRNA". It matches the Rfam family "Bacterial small subunit ribosomal RNA", at positions 28 to 523 of the family's 1533-position model. The record is from RNAcentral.
GACGAACGCUGGCGGCGUGCCUAACACAUGCAAGUCGAACGCGUCUGUGCUUCGGCACAGAUGAGUGGCGAACGGGUGAGUAACGCGUGAGUAACUCCCCUUGGGGAGGGGGAUAACCAUCUGAAAAGGUGGCUAAUACCCCAUAUUCUCUUUUCUCAUAAGAGGAAGAAGGAAAGGUGGCGCAAGCUGCCACCCCGAGAGAGGCUCGCGUCCCAUCAGCUAGUUGGUAGGGUAAUGGCCUACCAAGGCUAUGACGGGUAGCUGGUCUGAGAGGAUGGUCAGCCACACUGGGACUGAGACACGGCCCAGACUCCUACGGGAGGCAGCAGUGAGGAAUCUUGGGCAAUGGGCGAAAGCCUGACCCAGCGACGCCGCGUGGAGGAAGAAGGGCCUUCGGGUCGUAAACGUCCUCGUUUGGGGUAGGAAGAACAAGAGAGAAGUUAAAUAGCUCUCUCUCUGACGGUAUCCCGGACGAAAGCUCCGGCUAAUACGUGCCAGCAGCCGCGGUAA